This is a non-coding RNA of Odocoileus virginianus texanus, 1187 nucleotides long. NCBI's taxonomy places the organism in Eukaryota, Metazoa, Chordata, Mammalia, Artiodactyla, Cervidae. The record is from RefSeq and is a predicted model, not a curated record.
UUUCGACCCUAGUCAGCUGAUCACGGAUCGUCACGAGAGAGCUCCAGGCCGGAAGACGCUGCCGAUCCUCGCCUGGGUUUGAUAACUCUUUUGCGUAGAGCUUCGUCUCCGCCUCCUCUCUAUCUCCUGAAGUUCUCUUUCACUUGGAAAGGCGUCAGUGGCAAUAGAUGCCUAACAUACCACCAGACCGUGAAGCCAGACACUUUCACUUUCAGAGUCCGCUGCCGCACUCGUGAGAGGGUGGGACCUACACAGUGAGUGGCAGCACCUGCACUGCGUGAGCCGCAGCUGCUCAGGUCACGCCGGGCACCUGCCAGUACCCGCUUUCCAUCUUCUCAUCAGCAGAUACGUCGGGCUGGGCAUUUUCCAGUUACGGAAGGAGGUGACUGAGACCCAAACAGGGUCCGGAAACAGAUCUCCCAUGUCCAGUGUCCAGGAUAACGGUGGCCAUUUCCUUUCCUGCUGCCAGGGAUCAGUUUAGAAAGAACACGAGGCGGUCUCUACAUCGGAGCCCCAAGAGUAAGUGUUUCCGGCCAUUCAUACGCCCAACCUCUGCUCUCGGUAGUUGGAUUUCGUGUACUAUCAGGCCGAAAGGGUGACGGUGCCGCUAGGAUGAAGCUUGUGAGAUUUUUGAUGAAAUUGAGUCACGAAACUGUAACCAUUGAGUUAAAGAGUGGAACACAGAUCCAUGGAACAAUCACAGGUGUAGAUGUCAAUAUGAAUACACACCUUAAAGCAGUGACAAUGACCCAGAAGAACAGAGAACGUGUACAGCUGGAAACACUGAGUAUUCGAGGAAAGAACAUUCGGUAUUUUAUUCUGCCGGACAGCUUACCUCUGGAUACCCUUCUCGUGGAUGUGGAAUCAAAGGUGUAUUCUGAGAAAAGGGAAGCUGUUGCAGGAAGAGGCCUAGGCCGAGGGAGAGGAUGUGGCCUAGGCCGAGGCAGAGGAAGAGGGGGUCCUAGGCCAUGAUGUCACUCAAGACUACUAUUUCAAAGUAGCGGGGAAGGAAGACUAAUCCAUGACGGAGGAAGAGUAUGAGGCCAAGGCAGAGGAAUGUGAAGUCCUAAGCGAUAAUGUUGCUGGAGCUUACUGUUUCACAGGGGUGGAUGUUCAAGUUUUUUGUACAGUCUUUGUUUGUAGCAGUUUUUAAUAAACAUAAAUGUAACACAUUUGUCUGUUGACUA